AUGGAGUCUAAGGAUGCUACAUUCUUUGAGGAUAUUUUUCCUAUGAGAGAUAUGCAAAGCACUUCUAGACAGGAAUCUGAGGAGACUCCUGAACCUGCCAUCCCUAUGGAAUAUUAUGAACAAACACAUGAUGAAAAUCCCGAGGAGGAUGACGAGGAAACCCUUGGUAGGGGCAAGAGACAAAGGACUGCAAAGACCUUUGGUGAUGAUUUCUUCGUGUACCUCGUGGAUGAUACUCCCACUUCUAUUUCAGAAGCGUAUGCCUCUCCAGAAGCUGACUACUGGAAGGAUGCGGUCCGUAGCGAGAUGGAUUCCAUCAUGGCUAACGGGACAUGGGAGAUCACUGACCGUCCCUAUGGUUGCAAACCACUGGGAUGUAAGUGGGUGUUCAAAAAGAAGCUUAGGCCCGAUGGUUUCGUUGUUAAUGAGGCUGACAAAUGUGUAUACUAUCGCCAUGGUGGGGGCGAAGGAGUUAUACUGUGCUUGUAUGUUGAUGACAUACUGAUAUUCGGAACAAACCUCAAAGUCAUUGAGGAGGUCAAAUCGUUUCUAUCUCAGAACUUUGAGAUGAAAGACCUUGGUGUGGUUGAUGUUAUCUUGAACAUCAAGCUACUGAGAGAUAAUGAGGGUGGGAUCACACUUCUGCAAUCCCAUUACGUUGAGAAGGUGUUGAGUCGUUUUGGAUAUUCGGACUGCACACCAUCUCAAACACCAUAUGAUCCUAGCGUAUUGAUUCGAAAGUCCAAAGGCAUGGCUAAAGAUCAAUUGAGAUACUCUCAAAUCAUUGGUUCACUGAUGUACCUAGCGAGCGCAACGAGGCCUGACAUCGCGUUUGCUGUGAGGUAUAGUGAUGCGAAUUGGAUCUCUGAUGCUGAUGAGAUGAAGGCCACAACUGGGUAUAUGUUUACUCUUGGAGGUGGCGCUGUUUCCUGGAAGUCUUGCAAGCAAACGAUCUUAACGAGAUCGACAAUGGAAGCAGAAUUAACGGCAUUAGACACAUCUGGUGUUGAAGCGAGAUGGCUUCGAGAUCUUUUGAUGGACUUGCCAUUGGUUGAUAAACCGGUUCCGGCUAUCCUUAUGAACUGUGACAAUCAGACUGUCAUCACCAAGAUUAAAAGCUGUCAGAAAAUUAAGAAACUCCGGAGUGAUAGCGUUGGACUAUGUCCAUACGGCUAA
RNAcentral lists this ribosomal RNA (1176 nucleotides) under Triticum aestivum (bread wheat). RNAcentral's name for it is "partial small subunit ribosomal RNA". The record is from RNAcentral. Lineage: Eukaryota; Viridiplantae; Streptophyta; Magnoliopsida; Poales; Poaceae.